UUUAUACUCCCUCUGUCCAACAAAAGAUGUCUCAAGUUUGUCAAAAUUUGGAUGUAUUUAGACAUGACUUAGUACAUAUAGAUGCAUUCAAAUUUAGUUAAAGUUGAGACAUCCUUUGUUGGACAGAGGAAGUAGAAA
This is a non-coding RNA of Brachypodium distachyon (stiff brome), 138 nucleotides long. The record is from Rfam. Lineage: Eukaryota; Viridiplantae; Streptophyta; Magnoliopsida; Poales; Poaceae.